UACGUAGGGUGCAAGCGUUAAUCGGAAUUACUGGGCGUAAAGCGUGCGCAGGCGGCUUUGCAAGACAGAUGUGAAAUCCCCGGGCUUAACCUGGGAACUGCAUUUGUGACUGCAUGGCUGGAGUGCGGCAGAGGGGGAUGGAAUUCCGCGUGUAGCAGUGAAAUGCGUAGAUAUGCGGAGGAACACCGAUGGCGAAGGCACUCUUCUGGGCCGACACUGACACUGAGAGACAAAAGCUAGGGGAGCAAAUGGG
This 253-nucleotide ribosomal RNA is filed under the name uncultured bacterium. Its description in RNAcentral is "partial 16S ribosomal RNA". It matches the Rfam family "Bacterial small subunit ribosomal RNA", at positions 524 to 776 of the family's 1533-position model. The record is from RNAcentral.